This 301-nucleotide ribosomal RNA is filed under the name uncultured bacterium. RNAcentral describes it as "partial 16S ribosomal RNA". It matches the Rfam family "Bacterial small subunit ribosomal RNA", at positions 509 to 807 of the family's 1533-position model. The record is from RNAcentral.
CAGCAGCCGCGGGAAUACGUAGGUGGCAAGCGUUGUCCGGAAUUAUUGGGCGUAAAGGGCUCGCAGGCGGUUUCUUAAGUCUGAUGUGAAAGCCCCCGGCUCAACCGGGGAGGGUCAUUGGAAACUGGGAAACUUGAGUGCAGAAGAGGAGAGUGGAAUUCCACGUGUAGCGGUGAAAUGCGUAGAGAUGUGGAGGAACACCAGUGGCGAAGGCGACUCUCUGGUCUGUAACUGACGCUGAGGAGCGAAAGCGUGGGGAGCGAACAGAAUUAGAUACCCCGGUAGUCCCUGUCUCUUAUAC